Molecule: ribosomal RNA, 497 nt
Filed under: uncultured bacterium
Lineage: Bacteria
Description: partial 16S ribosomal RNA
Rfam family: Bacterial small subunit ribosomal RNA
Source: RNAcentral
GAUGAACGCUGGCGGCGUGCCUAAUACAUGCAAGUCGAGCGAACAGACGAGGAGCUUUCUCCUCUGACGUUAGCGGCGGACGGGUGAGUAACACGUGUAUAACCUACCUAUAAGACUGGGAUAACUUCGUGAAACCGUAGCUAAUACCGGAUAAUAUAUUGAACCGCAUGGUUCAAUAGUGAAAGACGGUUUUGCUGUCGCUUAUAGAUGGAUCCGCGCCGCAUUAGCUAGUUGGUAAGGUAACGGCUUACCAAGGCGACGAUGCGUAGCCGACCUGAGAGGGUGAUCGGCCACACUGGAACUGAGACACGGUCCAGACUCCUACGGGAGGCAGCAGUAGGGAAUCUUCCGCAAUGGGCGAAAGCCUGACGGAGCAACGCCGCGUGAGUGAUGAAGGUCUUCGGAUCGUAAACUUCUGUUAUUAGGGAAGAAAAAAUGUGUAAGUAAAUAUGCACGUCUUGACGGUACCUAAUCAGAAAGCAACGGCUAACUACGUG